Long non-coding RNA from Eriocheir sinensis (Chinese mitten crab), 1100 nucleotides. RefSeq lists it as uncharacterized. NCBI's taxonomy places the organism in Eukaryota, Metazoa, Arthropoda, Malacostraca, Decapoda, Varunidae. The record is from RefSeq and is a predicted model, not a curated record. The transcript has 3 exons.
UUGGCUGGCGGUGGCCGGCGCGGGAGGGGGGGGGACAAGGAGCAUCAGUUGCAUUUCAAACAUUGUGGUGGUCGGAUGUACUCGCUCCAACACAGUGACACUCCAUGUACAAGGUAGACUGAAUCUACUGCAAGGCAUCAUGGACCGGUUUCAUACAUAUGCAUCUCUGGUUGGCUGGCAUAAGCAUGAUCCUGUGAGCUAGUGUUACUCCUGGCAACUACUUUUGACUAGUUCUUCCUGUGAAACAGCUGUCUUUCAAAGAUGCCGAGGUCAUGCUGUGUGCCAGGAUGCAAGUCCAACUAUAAAUCUGCAGAUGCCUCUGCGUUCAGUUUCCCUAAAGAUGAACAGCGACGGCAGCAGUGGAUGAGGGCUAUCCACAGGAAAGACUUUACUCCAACAGAAAAUACAAUUGUUUGUUCCAAGCACUUCCAAAAACGUUUCAUCAUUACAGAAGACAGUAUGACACGCGCUGAUGGAACUGUAGUAACAGCAAAGAGAGGCAGGCCAUCUCUACAUAAAGAUGCUUGUCCAACCAUCUUUGAAAACCAGCCCAAGUCUAUGUCCAAGGAAAUACCAGCUCCUCGCACCACUCCACAGGAAAGGAGAGACAAGCUAAUUGAACGUGAUGAAAUGGUGUUCAGUGAUUGGAUUGAGAAAGACCAAAUAAACAGCUUUAAAGAAUUUUGUGAAGGAUUUACUGAAAAGCUCUCUAAAGGUUGGCUGCAUCUUUCCAGUGAUGACUAUGUGUCUUUCCUUAGAAUUAACUGCGAUGGCCAACCAAAGCUAACAGUGUCCUUUAAAGUUAUGUCAGAUUUAACAGUUUCAGUGUGGCUUGAAAAUAAUACCUUAAAACCAAGAAAGUUGAAGUGGCUUUUAGGAGAAGCAAAUGCAUGUGAUUUGUGGUCAAAAUUUGAGAAUUUACUUAGUCACCUUAAUCUUGAAUCUGCAUCAACUUUAACUGUCACUGAUAAACUUACUCAGUGUAAAGAAACUAUUGAAGAGAUUUUGGAAACUGACAAUGAUGAAAUGAGCUCCAAAAAGAAAGUGAUGUGGUUCUGUGCUGAACAACUAGGUUUGAUCUGCAAAGAUAGUAUGAAAUA